This is a non-coding RNA of Ornithorhynchus anatinus (platypus), 138 nucleotides long. Lineage: Eukaryota; Metazoa; Chordata; Mammalia; Monotremata; Ornithorhynchidae. The record is from Rfam.
AACCUCUCAGGAUCGCACCUGGAGCGUUUCCAGUCCUCUACCAGUCUCGGCUACAGGAGGGAGAGUCAAGCAGAGGUCUACCGAUUCCAUUCCUAGCUCGGCCAGUGGCUAGCGAGUGGAAGGCAAUCUGCUACAAAU